This 344-nucleotide ribosomal RNA is filed under the name uncultured bacterium. RNAcentral's name for it is "bacterial SSU rRNA". It matches the Rfam family "Bacterial small subunit ribosomal RNA", at positions 917 to 1264 of the family's 1533-position model. The record is from RNAcentral.
GGACCCGCACAAGCGGUGGAGUAUGUGGCUUAAUUCGAUGCAACGCGAAGAACCUUACCUGGGCUUGACAUGCCGUCGUAGAUCUUGAAAGGAUCGUCAGUUCGGCUGGACGUGCACAGGUGCUGCAUGGCUGUCGUCAGCUCGUGUCGUGAGAUGUUCGGUUAAGUCCGGCAACGAGCGCAACCCCCUGUGAACUGUUGCUAACAUUAAGUUGAGGACUCUGUUCAGACUGCCCGUUUCAAACGGGAGGAAGGUGGGGACGACGUCAAGUCAGUAUGGCCCUUACGCCCAGGGCUGCACACGUACUACAAUGCCCAGUACAAUGAGACCGAGACCGUGAGGUG